CAAUAUAGCAGAUCUAUACAUGAAUCAUCAAUCUUUUCUUACGACAGAUGUAACGUUGACUGUUCGUAUCCAGGAUAUAUAAGGCCAUUUUGACCUAUAAAACACGUAUCAAGCCCUAGAACUUCAUUCCAUGAGAUGGGUACACUUCGAAUGUGCGAAAUUUGUGACGAGGAAUUCAAGACCAAUUCUGAAUUGCGUAGGCAUGUAAAAAGGAAACAUCAAUCAGAGAAAUUGUCUUCGUUUGUGACCAGUGCAACACACGCUUUUGCACAUUAUAAAAGAAAUAUGAAGUAUAAAAAAUACAUUGUUUUCUGAAUACACGAGGUGCAUACAUAUACCAUGGCAGCCGUUUUAUAUAUCCGUUUAUGUACAUUAUGAAACGAUUAUUUUUACGUUAUUAUGCUUUGUUUCACAGAGAUACUACUAAUCUUUUACAUUGCAUUUUACACAUGUUGAUUUGUCAUUUCAUUGAACCAGAAGUGUUCUUAAGUUUUAC
Long non-coding RNA from Ostrea edulis (European flat oyster), 496 nucleotides. RefSeq lists it as uncharacterized. NCBI's taxonomy places the organism in Eukaryota, Metazoa, Mollusca, Bivalvia, Ostreida, Ostreidae. The transcript is spliced from 2 exons. The record is from RefSeq and is a predicted model, not a curated record.